RNAcentral lists this ribosomal RNA (253 nucleotides) under uncultured bacterium. RNAcentral's name for it is "partial 16S ribosomal RNA". It matches the Rfam family "Bacterial small subunit ribosomal RNA", at positions 524 to 776 of the family's 1533-position model. The record is from RNAcentral.
UACGAGGGGGGCAAAUGUUGUUCGGAAUCACUGGGCGUAAAGGGAGCGUAGGCGGGUUUCUAAGUCAGGUGUUUAAUCCCGGGGCCCAACCCCGGACAGGCACUUGAAACUGGGAAUCUUGAAUAGUGGAGAGGUCAGUGGAAUUGGGGGUGUAGCGGUGGAAUGCGUAGAUAUCUGGAGGAACACCGGUGGCGAAGGCGGCAUCCUGGACCGACACUGACGCUGAGGAGCGAAAGCCAGGGGAGCAAACGGG